CAGUAGCCGCGGUAAUACGUAGGUGGCAAGCGUUAUCCGGAAUUAUUGGGCGUAAAGCGCGCGUAGGCGGUUUUUUAAGUCUGAUGUGAAAGCCCACGGCUCAACCGUGGAGGGUCAUUGGAAACUGGAAAACUUGAGUGCAGAAGAGGAAAGUGGAAUUCCAUGUGUAGCGGUGAAAUGCGCAGAGAUAUGGAGGAACACCAGUGGCGAAGGCGACUUUCUGGUCUGUAACUGACGCUGAUGUGCGAAAGCGUGGGGAUCAAACAGGAUUAGAUACCCCAGUAGUCCCUGUCUCUUAUAA
RNAcentral lists this ribosomal RNA (301 nucleotides) under uncultured bacterium. RNAcentral's name for it is "partial 16S ribosomal RNA". It matches the Rfam family "Bacterial small subunit ribosomal RNA", at positions 509 to 809 of the family's 1533-position model. The record is from RNAcentral.